Pluteus cervinus is the source of this 77-nucleotide non-coding RNA. Lineage: Eukaryota; Fungi; Basidiomycota; Agaricomycetes; Agaricales; Pluteaceae. The record is from the annotation of a GenBank genome assembly.
AGAACAAUGGCAUAGUUGGUUGCGGUAUAGCCUCUCUGACACACAGAAGGUUUCCAGUUCGAACCUGGGUUGUUUCU